AGCAGCCGCGGUAAUUCCAGCUCCAAUAGCGUAUAUUAAAGUUGUUGCAGUUAAAAAGCUCGUAGUUGAGUUUCGAGAUCAGUACGCUGGUCGUGCCUUCGGUAUGCACUGGUGUCACUGGUUUCUCCCUUCUGAAGAACCGUCAUGCCGUUCAGUUGGUGUGGCGGGGAAUCAGGACUGUUACUUUGAAAAAAUUAGAGUGUUUAAAGCAGGCUCGCGCUUGAAUACAUUAGCAUGGAAUAAUGAAAUAGGACGUUUGACCCUAUUUUGUUGGUUUCUAGGAUCGACGUAAUGAUUAAUAGGGAUAGUUGGGGGCAUUAGUAUUCAAUUGUCAGAGGUGAAAUUCUUGGAUUUAUUGAAGACUAACUACUGCGAAAGCAUUUGCCAAGGAUGUUUUCAUUAAUCAAGAACGAAAGUUAGGGGAUCGAAGACGAUCAGAUACCGUCGUAG
This 450-nucleotide ribosomal RNA is filed under the name uncultured Glomeromycotina. Its description in RNAcentral is "SSU rRNA". It matches the Rfam family "Eukaryotic small subunit ribosomal RNA", at positions 569 to 1023 of the family's 1831-position model. The record is from RNAcentral. Lineage: Eukaryota; Fungi; Glomeromycota.